AGAGUUUGAUCCUGGCUCAGGACGAACGCUGGCGGCGUGCCUAAUACAUGCAAGUCGAGCGGACAGAUGGGAGCUUGCUCCCUGAUGUUAGCGGCGGACGGGUGAGUAACACGUGGGUAACCUGCCUGUAAGACUGGGAUAACUCCGGGAAACCGGGGCUAAUACCGGAUGGUUGUUUGAACCGCAUGGUUCAAACAUAAAAGGUGGCUUCGGCUACCACUUACAGAUGGACCCGCGGCGCAUUAGCUAGUUGGUGAGGUAACGGCUCACCAAGGCAACGAUGCGUAGCCGACCUGAGAGGGUGAUCGGCCACACUGGGACUGAGACACGGCCCAGACUCCUACGGGAGGCAGCAGUAGGGAAUCUUCCGCAAUGGACGAAAGUCUGACGGAGCAACGCCGCGUGAGUGAUGAAGGUUUUCGGAUCGUAAAGCUCUGUUGUUAGGGAAGAACAAGUACCGUUCGAAUAGGGCGGUACCUUGACGGUACCUAACCAGAAAGCCACGGCUAACUACGUGCCAGCAGCCGCGGUAAUACGUAGGUGGCAAGCGUUGUCCGGAAUUAUUGGGCGUAAAGGGCUCGCAGGCGGUUUCUUAAGUCUGAUGUGAAAGCCCCCGGCUCAACCGGGGAGGGUCAUUGGAAACUGGGGAACUUGAGUGCAGAAGAGGAGAGUGGAAUUCCACGUGUAGCGGUGAAAUGCGUAGAGAUGUGGAGGAACACCAGUGGCGAAGGCGACUCUCUGGUCUGUAACUGACGCUGAGGAGCGAAAGCGUGGGGAGCGAACAGGAUUAGAUACCCUGGUAGUCCACGCCGUAAACGAUGAGUGCUAAGUGUUAGGGGGUUUCCGCCCCUUAGUGCUGCAGCUAACGCAUUAAGCACUCCGCCUGGGGAGUACGGUCGCAAGACUGAAACUCAAAGGAAUUGACGGGGGCCCGCACAAGCGUGGAGCAUGUGGUUUAAUUCGAAGCAACGCGAAGAACCUUACCAGGUCUUGACAUCCUCUGACAAUCCUAGAGAUAGGACGUCCCCUUCGGGGGCAGAGUGACAGGUGGUGCAUGGUUGUCGUCAGCUCGUGUCGUGAGAUGUUGGGUUAAGUCCCGCAACGAGCGCAACCCUUGAUCUUAGUUGCCAGCAUUCAGUUGGGCACUCUAAGGUGACUGCCGGUGACAAACCGGAGGAAGGUGGGGAUGACGUCAAAUCAUCAUGCCCCUUAUGACCUGGGCUACACACGUGCUACAAUGGACAGAACAAAGGGCAGCGAAACCGCGAGGUUAAGCCAAUCCCACAAAUCUGUUCUCAGUUCGGAUCGCAGUCUGCAACUCGACUGCGUGAAGCUGGAAUCGCUAGUAAUCGCGGAUCAGCAUGCCGCGGUGAAUACGUUCCCGGGCCUUGUACACACCGCCCGUCACACCACGAGAGUUUGUAACACCCGAAGUCGGUGAGGUAACCUUUUAGGAGCCAGCCGCCGAAGGUGGGACAGAUGAUUGGGGUGAAGUCGGAACAAGGUA
This 1507-nucleotide ribosomal RNA is filed under the name metagenome. Its description in RNAcentral is "bacterial SSU rRNA". It matches the Rfam family "Bacterial small subunit ribosomal RNA". The record is from RNAcentral.